This 497-nucleotide ribosomal RNA is filed under the name uncultured bacterium. RNAcentral describes it as "partial 16S ribosomal RNA". It matches the Rfam family "Bacterial small subunit ribosomal RNA", at positions 28 to 507 of the family's 1533-position model. The record is from RNAcentral.
GAUGAACGCUGGCGACGUGCCUAAUACAUGCAAGUCGAGCGAACAGAUAAGGAGCUUGCUCCUUUGACGUUAGCGGCGGACGGGUGAGUAACACGUGGGUAACCUACCUAUAAGACUGGGAUAACUUCGGGAAACCGGAGCUAAUACCGGAUAAUAUUUCGAACCGCAUGGUUCGAUAGUGAAAGAUGGUUUUGCUAUCACUUAUAGAUGGACCCGCGCCGUAUUAGCUAGUUGGUAAGGUAACGGCUUACCAAGGCGACGAUACGUAGCCGACCUGAGAGGGUGAUCGGCCACACUGGAACUGAGACACGGUCCAGACUCCUACGGGAGGCAGCAGUAGGGAAUCUUCCGCAAUGGGCGAAAGCCUGACGGAGCAACGCCGCGUGAGUGAUGAAGGUCUUCGGAUCGUAAAACUCUGUUAUUAGGGAAGAACAUACGUGUAAGUAACUGUGCACGUCUUGACGGUACCUAAUCAGAAAGCCACGGCUAACUACGUG